Molecule: ribosomal RNA, 478 nt
Filed under: cf. Pleospora sp. LC-B4/3
Lineage: Eukaryota; Fungi; Ascomycota; Dothideomycetes; Pleosporales
Description: SSU rRNA
Rfam family: Eukaryotic small subunit ribosomal RNA
Source: RNAcentral
ACUGCGAAUGGCUCAUUAAAUCAGUUAUCGUUUAUUUGAUAGUACCUUACUACUUGGAUAACCGUGGUAAUUCUAGAGCUAAUACAUGCUGAAAACCCCAACUUCGGGAGGGGUGUAUUUAUUAGAUAAAAAACCAACGCCCUUCGGGGCUUCUUGGUGAUUCAUGAUAACUUCACGGAUCGCAUGGCCUUGCGCCGGCGACGGUUCAUUCAAAUUUCUGCCCUAUCAACUUUCGAUGGUAAGGUAUUGGCUUACCAUGGUUUCAACGGGUAACGGGGAAUUAGGGUUCGAUUCCGGAGAGGGAGCCUGAGAAACGGCUACCACAUCCAAGGAAGGCAGCAGGCGCGCAAAUUACCCAAUCCCGACACGGGGAGGUAGUGACAAUAAAUACUGAUACAGGGCUCUUUUGGGUCUUGUAAUUGGAAUGAGUACAAUUUAAACCUCUUAACGAGGAACAAUUGGAGGGCAAGUCUGGUGC